UACGAAGGAUUCGAGCGUUAUCCGGAUUUAUUGGGUUUAAAGGGUGCGUAGGUGGACUAAUUAGUCAGUGGUGAAAGCCCGCAGCUUAACUGCGGAACUGCCAUUGAUACUGUUAGUCUUGAGUACAGUUGAGGUGGGCGGAAUGUGUCAUGUAGCGGUGAAAUGCUUAGAUAUGACACAGAACACCGAUUGCGAAGGCAGCUCACUAAGCUGUAACUGACACUGAGGCACGAAAGCGUGGGGAGCAAACAGG
RNAcentral lists this ribosomal RNA (253 nucleotides) under uncultured bacterium. RNAcentral describes it as "partial 16S ribosomal RNA". It matches the Rfam family "Bacterial small subunit ribosomal RNA", at positions 524 to 776 of the family's 1533-position model. The record is from RNAcentral.